UACGAAGGGGGCUAGCGUUGCUCGGAUUGACUGGGCGUAAAGGGCGCGUAGGCGGUUCGUACAGUCAGACGUGAAAUUCCUGGGCUCAACCUGGGGGCUGCGUUUGAUACGUGCGGACUUGAGUGCGGAAGAGGGUCGUGGAAUUCCCAGUGUAGAGGUGAAAUUCGUAGAUAUUGGGAAGAACACCGGUGGCGAAGGCGGCGACCUGGCCCGAUACUGACGCUGAGGCGCGAAAGCGUGGGGAGCAAACAGG
RNAcentral lists this ribosomal RNA (253 nucleotides) under uncultured bacterium. RNAcentral describes it as "partial 16S ribosomal RNA". It matches the Rfam family "Bacterial small subunit ribosomal RNA", at positions 524 to 776 of the family's 1533-position model. The record is from RNAcentral.